UACGUAGGGCGCAAGCGUUGUCCGGAAUUAUUGGGCGUGAAGAGCUCGUAGGCGGUUUGUCGCGUCUGCUGUGAAAACCUAAGGCUCAACCUUGGGCUUGCAGUGGGUACGGGCAGACUAGAGUGCGGUAGGGGUGACUGGAAUUCCUGGUGUAGCGGUGGAAUGCGCAGAUAUCAGGAGGAACACCGAUGGCGAAGGCAGGUCACUGGGCCGCAACUGACGCUGAGGAGCGAAAGCAUGGGGAGCGAACAGG
This 253-nucleotide ribosomal RNA is filed under the name uncultured bacterium. RNAcentral describes it as "partial 16S ribosomal RNA". It matches the Rfam family "Bacterial small subunit ribosomal RNA", at positions 524 to 776 of the family's 1533-position model. The record is from RNAcentral.